RNAcentral lists this ribosomal RNA (466 nucleotides) under uncultured bacterium. Its description in RNAcentral is "partial 16S ribosomal RNA". It matches the Rfam family "Bacterial small subunit ribosomal RNA", at positions 28 to 507 of the family's 1533-position model. The record is from RNAcentral.
GACGAACGCUGGCGGCGUGCUUAACACAUGCAAGUCGAACGGAAAGGCCCAGCUUGCUGGGUACUCGAGUGGCGAACGGGUGAGUAACACGUGGGUGAUCUGCCCUGCACUCUGGGAUAAGCCUGGGAAACUGGGUCUAAUACCGGAUAUGACCGACUGUCGCAUGGUGGUUGGUGGAAAGCUUUUGCGGUGUGGGAUGGGCACGCGGCCUAUCAGCUUGUUGGUGGGGUAAUGGCCUACCAAGGCGACGACGGGUAGCCGACCUGAGAGGGUGAUCGGCCACACUGGGACUGCGACACGGCCCAGACUCCUACGGGAGGCAGCAGUGGGGAAUAUUGCACAAUGGGCGCAAGCCUGAUGCAGCGACGCCGCGUGAGGGAUGACGGCCUUCGGGUUGUAAACCUCUUUCACCUGGGACGAAGCGUGAGUGACGGUACCUGGAGAAGAAGCACCGGCCAACUACGUG